This 183-nucleotide ribosomal RNA is filed under the name uncultured Streptococcus sp. RNAcentral describes it as "partial 16S ribosomal RNA". It matches the Rfam family "Bacterial small subunit ribosomal RNA", at positions 1200 to 1382 of the family's 1533-position model. The record is from RNAcentral. Lineage: Bacteria; Bacillati; Bacillota; Bacilli; Lactobacillales; Streptococcaceae.
CCGUCUGACCUGGGCUACACACGUGCUACAAUGGUUGGUACAACGAGUUGCGAGUCGGUGACGGCGAGCUAAUCUCUUAAAGCCAAUCUCAGUUCGGAUUGUAGGCUGCAACUCGCCUACAUGAAGUCGGAAUCGCUAGUAAUCGCGGAUCAGCACGCCGCGGUGAAUACGUUCCCGGGCCUU